UUAAGUUAGAAUUAAUUACCUUAGGGAUAACAGCGUGAUAAUUUUGGAAAGGUCAUAUUGAUAAAAUUGAUUGCGACCUCGACGUUGAAUUAAGAUAAAAAUUAAAUGUAGAAGUUUAAUGUUUGAGUCUGUUCGACUUUUAAAAUCUUACAUGAUUUGAGUUUAGAUCGGCGUAAGCCAGAUCGGUUUCUAUCUAUAUUA
Molecule: non-coding RNA, 201 nt
Organism: Trachymyrmex cornetzi
Lineage: Eukaryota; Metazoa; Arthropoda; Insecta; Hymenoptera; Formicidae
Source: Rfam